UACAGAGGUCCCAAGCGUUGUUCGGAUUCACUGGGCGUAAAGGGUGCGUAGGCGGCGCGGUAAGUCGGAUGUGAAAUCUUGGAGCUUAACUCCGAAACUGCAUUCGAUACUGCCGUGCUUGAGGACUGGAGAGGAGACUGGAAUUUACGGUGUAGCGGUGAAAUGCGUAGAUAUCGUAAGGAAGACCAGUGGCGAAGGCGGGUCUCUGGACAGUUCCUGACGCUGAAGCACGAAGGCCAGGGGAGCAAACGGG
This 253-nucleotide ribosomal RNA is filed under the name uncultured bacterium. Its description in RNAcentral is "partial 16S ribosomal RNA". It matches the Rfam family "Bacterial small subunit ribosomal RNA", at positions 524 to 776 of the family's 1533-position model. The record is from RNAcentral.